AACCUGCCCUUGAAGUAGGGGAUAACACUUGGAAACAGGUGCUAAUACCGUAUAACAACCAAAACCACCUGGUUUUGGUUUAAAAGAUGGCUUCGGCUAUCACUUUAGGAUGGACCCGCGGCGUAUUAGCUUGUUGGUAAGGUAACGGCCUACCAAGGCAAUGAUACGUAGCCGACCUGAGAGGGUAAUCGGCCACAUUGGGACUGAGACACGGCCCAAACUCCUACGGGAGGCAGCAGUAGGGAAUCUUCCACAAUGGACGAAAGUCUGAUGGAGCAACGCCGCGUGAGUGAUGAAGGGUUUCGGCUCGUAAAACUCUGUUGUUGGAGAAGAGCAGGUGUGAGAGUAACUGUUCACAUCUUGACGGUAUCCAACCAGAAAGCCACGGCUAACUACGUGCCAGCAGCCGCGGUAAUACGUAGGUGGCAAGCGUUGUCCGGAUUUAUUGGGCGUAAAGCGAGCGCAGGCGGUUUCUUAGGUCUGAUGUGAAAGCCUUCGGCUUAACCGGAGAAGUGCAUCGGAAACCAGGAGACUUUGAGUGCAGAAGAGGACAGUGGAACUCCAUGUGUAGCGGU
This 575-nucleotide ribosomal RNA is filed under the name uncultured bacterium. RNAcentral's name for it is "bacterial SSU rRNA". It matches the Rfam family "Bacterial small subunit ribosomal RNA", at positions 123 to 682 of the family's 1533-position model. The record is from RNAcentral.